RNAcentral lists this ribosomal RNA (254 nucleotides) under uncultured bacterium. RNAcentral describes it as "partial 16S ribosomal RNA". It matches the Rfam family "Bacterial small subunit ribosomal RNA", at positions 524 to 776 of the family's 1533-position model. The record is from RNAcentral.
UACGUAGGGGGCGAGCGUUAUCCGGAAUUACUGGGCGUAAAGCGCACGCAGGCGGUUCGCCAAGUUUGGAGUGACAGUUGUCGGCUCAACCGACAAAGGACUUCAAAAACUGGUGAACUUGAGGACGAGAGAGGAACAUGGAACUCCAGGUGUAGUAGUGAAAUGCGUAGAUAUCUGGAAGAACACCAAUGGCGAAGGCAAUGUUCUGGCUCGUUUCUGACGCUCAGGUGCGAAAGCCAGGGGGAGCGAACGGG